UGCGGAGUGGCGAAAUGGUAAACGCAGCUGGUUGUUGACCAGCCAGGUCGGACAGACUUUUGGUGGUUCGAUUCCACCCUCCGCAGCCA
RNAcentral lists this transfer RNA (89 nucleotides) under SAR324 cluster bacterium. RNAcentral describes it as "tRNA-Asn". It matches the Rfam family "tRNA". From Rfam's summary of the family: Transfer RNA (tRNA) molecules are approximately 80 nucleotides in length. Their secondary structure includes four short double-helical elements and three loops (D, anti-codon, and T loops). Lineage: Bacteria; Deltaproteobacteria. RNAcentral also lists the same sequence under 1 other name. The record is from RNAcentral.